RNAcentral lists this ribosomal RNA (449 nucleotides) under uncultured bacterium. Its description in RNAcentral is "bacterial SSU rRNA". It matches the Rfam family "Bacterial small subunit ribosomal RNA", at positions 354 to 796 of the family's 1533-position model. The record is from RNAcentral.
GUCGAGAAUUUUUCUCAAUGGGCGAAAGCCUGAAGGAGCGACGCCGCGUGGGGGAUGAAGGGCUUCGGCUCGUAAACCCCUGUCAUUUGCGAACAAACCCUCCGGUCUAACACAUCGGAGGCUGAUUGUAGCGAAAGAGGAAGGGACGGCUAACUCUGUGCCAGCAGCCGCGGUAAUACAGAGGUCCCAAGCGUUGUUCGGAUUCACUGGGCGUAAAGGGUGCGUAGGUGGCAAGGUAAGUCUGAUGUGAAAGCUCUGAGCUCAACUCAGAAAUGGCAUUGGAAACUACCUGGCUCGAGGAUCGGAGGGGAGACUGGAAUUCUCGGUGUAGCAGUGAAAUGCGUAGAUAUCGAGAGGAACACCAGUGGCGAAGGCGAGUCUCUGGACGAUUCCUGACGCUGAGGCACGAAAGCUAGGGGAGCAAACAGGAUUAGAUACCCGUGUAGUCC